RNAcentral lists this transfer RNA (113 nucleotides) under Blattabacterium sp. (Cryptocercus punctulatus) str. Cpu. Its description in RNAcentral is "tRNA-Ser". The stretch from base 25 to 112 matches the Rfam family "tRNA". From Rfam's summary of the family: Transfer RNA (tRNA) molecules are approximately 80 nucleotides in length. Their secondary structure includes four short double-helical elements and three loops (D, anti-codon, and T loops). The record is from RNAcentral. Lineage: Bacteria; Pseudomonadati; Bacteroidota; Flavobacteriia; Flavobacteriales; Blattabacteriaceae.
AUAUAAUAAAAAUAUAAAAAAAAUGGAGAGAUGGCAGAGUGGUUAAUUGCGGCGGUCUUGAAAACCGUUGAGGUUUUUUAUUCCUCCGGGGGUUCGAAUCCCUCUCUCUCCGC